This is a non-coding RNA of Pelobates cultripes (western spadefoot toad), 294 nucleotides long. The record is from the annotation of a GenBank genome assembly. Lineage: Eukaryota; Metazoa; Chordata; Amphibia; Anura; Pelobatidae.
CCAGGACAGGCUGUAACUCCCAUUAUCCUCUCCCCAGUACAGGCUGUAAUUCCCAUUAUCCUCUCCCCAGGACAGGCUGUAAUUCCCAUUAUCCUCUCCCCAGUACAGACUGUAACUCCCAUUAUCCUCUCCCCAGUACAGGCUGUAACUCCCAUUAUCCUCUCCCCAGUACAGGCUGUAAUUCCCCUUAUCCUCUCCCCAGUACAGACUGUAAUUCCCAUUAUCCUCUCCCCAGGACAGACUGUAAUUCCCAUUAUCCUCUCCCCAGUACAGACUGUAACUCCCAUUAUCCUC